ACAAGUACUUCCAGGUUUCAAAGCUUACUACACUUCCAUAGUGUGCCAUGCGAGAGCAAAGUGCACCUCGAACCAUUGCCCAGCCCUCUGCUAUAGGCUGAGAGCACUGAAGGGGGCGGCGCAGUA
This 126-nucleotide small nucleolar RNA is filed under the name Octodon degus (degu). Its description in RNAcentral is "Small nucleolar RNA SNORA42/SNORA80 family (ENSODEG00000024835.1)". The record is from RNAcentral. Lineage: Eukaryota; Metazoa; Chordata; Mammalia; Rodentia; Octodontidae.